RNAcentral lists this ribosomal RNA (504 nucleotides) under uncultured bacterium. Its description in RNAcentral is "partial 16S ribosomal RNA". It matches the Rfam family "Bacterial small subunit ribosomal RNA", at positions 29 to 523 of the family's 1533-position model. The record is from RNAcentral.
AUUGAACGCUGGCGGCAGGCCUAACACAUGCAAGUCGAGCGGUAGCACAGAGAGCUUGCUCUCGGGUGACGAGCGGCGGACGGGUGAGUAAUGUCUGGGAAACUGCCUGCGGGAGGGGGAUAACUGCUGGAAACGGUAGCUAAUACCGCAUAACGUCGCAAGACCAAAGUGGGGGACCUUCGGGCCUCAUGCCAUCGGAGGUGCCCCAGUGGGAUUAGUUGGUAGGUGGGGUAACGGCUCACCUAGGGGACGAUCCUUAACUGGUCUGAGAGGAUGACCAGCCACACUGGAACUGAGACACGGUCCAGACUCCUACGGGAGGCAGCAGUGGGGAAUAUUGCACAAUGGGCGCAAGCCUGAUGCAGCCAUGCCGCGUGUGUGAAGAAGGCCUUCGGGUUGUAAAGCACUUUCAGCGGGGAGGAAGGCAUUAAGGUUAAUAACCUUAGUGAUUGACGUUACCCGCAGAAGAAGCACCGGCUAACUCCGUGCCAGCCGCCGCCGUAA